UUCAGUUGGAUUUUUUAAUAA
This 21-nucleotide non-coding RNA is filed under the name Caenorhabditis elegans. Lineage: Eukaryota; Metazoa; Nematoda; Chromadorea; Rhabditida; Rhabditidae. The record is from RNAcentral.